AUUGAACGCUGGCGGCAGGCCUAACACAUGCAAGUCGAACGGUAACAGGAAGCAGCUUGCUGCUUUGCUGACGAGUGGCGGACGGGUGAGUCAUGUCUGGGAAACUGCCUGAUGGAGGGGGAUAACUACUGGAAACGGUAGCUACUACCGCAUAACGUCGCAAGACCACAGAGGGGGACCUUAGGGCCUCUUGCCAUCGUAUGUGCCCAGAUGGGAUUAGCUAGUAGGUGGGGUAACGUCUCACCUAGGCGACGAUCCCUACCUGGUCUGAGAGGAUGACCAGCCACACUGGAACUGAGACACGGUCCAGACUCCUACGGGAGGCAGCAGUGGGGAAUAUUGCACAAUGGGCGCAAGCCAGAUGCAGCCAUGCCGCGUGUAUGAAGAAGGACGUCGGGUUGUAAAGUACUUUCAGCGGGGAGGAAGGGAGUAAAGUUAAUACCUUUGCUCAUUGACGUGACCCGCAGAAGAAGCACCGGCUAACUCCGUG
This 490-nucleotide ribosomal RNA is filed under the name uncultured bacterium. Its description in RNAcentral is "partial 16S ribosomal RNA". It matches the Rfam family "Bacterial small subunit ribosomal RNA", at positions 30 to 507 of the family's 1533-position model. The record is from RNAcentral.